This 158-nucleotide ribosomal RNA is filed under the name Alternaria sp. Its description in RNAcentral is "5.8S ribosomal RNA". It matches the Rfam family "5.8S ribosomal RNA". Rfam says of the family: 5.8S ribosomal RNA (5.8S rRNA) is a component of the large subunit of the eukaryotic ribosome. It is transcribed by RNA polymerase I as part of the 45S precursor that also contains 18S and 28S rRNA. Lineage: Eukaryota; Fungi; Ascomycota; Dothideomycetes; Pleosporales; Pleosporaceae. The record is from RNAcentral.
CAACUUUAAACAACAGAUCUCUUGGUUAUGGCAUCGAUGAAGAACACAUCUAAAUGCAAUACGUACUGUGAAUUGCACAAUUCAGUGAAUCAUCUAAUCUUUGAACGCACAUUGCGCCCUUUGGUAUUCCAAAGGACAUGCCUGUUCUAGCGUCAUUU